CCGUUUCAAUCUGCUGGGGGCAGAUGAAAUGGAUAUGGGUGUCGAUCCCACCUGCUGUGAGGAUGUGGCCCUCGCCCGCAAUCGCUUCGGUGCCGGGUCCUACAACGAUGGUGACCCCAUGCUGUGUGUCGGGGUUACCCGCUUUGCCAAUGCCAACGAUGCGCCCGUCUCUCAGACCCACAUCGGCUUUGAUGAUUCCCCACCAGUCGAGGAUCAAUGCAUUGGUGAUCACGGUGUCAACGGCUCCUUCAGCUCGUGCUGUUUGCGCCUGGCCCAUGCCGUCACGA
Molecule: non-coding RNA, 287 nt
Organism: Synechococcus sp. MIT S9508
Lineage: Bacteria; Bacillati; Cyanobacteriota; Cyanophyceae; Synechococcales; Synechococcaceae
Source: Rfam